ACGAGAAGACCCCAUGGAGCUUUAAACCCAACGACACCCGCCCCCCUCCAAAUCCUACUAUUUACCCGGUGAUUGUUUGUUUGGUUUUAGGUUGGGGUGACCGCGGAGUAUAAGAUAUCCUCCAUGAAAAAAAGCUAACUGCCCUUAUUAGAGAAAGACACUUCCAAAAAAUAAUAAAUUAAUUUUAAAUGAUCCGACAUUCGAUCAACGAACCAAGUUACCCUGGGGAUAACAGCGCAAUCCGUCCCGAGAGCCCCUAUCGACAGGCGGGUUUACGACCUCGAUGUUGGAUCAGGGUAUCCUAGUGGUGCAGCAGCUACUAAAGGUUCGUUUGUUCAACGAUUAAAACCCU
Molecule: ribosomal RNA, 352 nt
Filed under: Boophis madagascariensis (Madagascar bright-eyed frog)
Lineage: Eukaryota; Metazoa; Chordata; Amphibia; Anura; Mantellidae
Description: partial 16S ribosomal RNA
Rfam family: Bacterial large subunit ribosomal RNA
Source: RNAcentral